RNAcentral lists this ribosomal RNA (440 nucleotides) under uncultured soil bacterium. RNAcentral's name for it is "bacterial SSU rRNA". It matches the Rfam family "Bacterial small subunit ribosomal RNA", at positions 26 to 493 of the family's 1533-position model. The record is from RNAcentral.
AGAUUGAACGCCGGCGGCAUGGCUAAAACAUGCAAGUCGAGCGCGAAAGGGAGCAAUCCCAAGUAGAGCGGCGAAAGGGUGAGUAAUACGUUCCUACGUACCUGAAGGUCGGGGAUAGCCAGGGGAAACUCUGGGUAAUACCCGAUGUGAUCGAGAGAUCAAAGGCUUGCCGCCUUCAGAGCGGGGAACGUCCUAUCAGGUAGUUGGUGAGGUAAAGGCUCACCAAGCCUUUGACGGGUAGCGGGUGUGAGAGCAUGGCCCGCCACAUCGAAACUGAGACACUGUUCGGACUCCUACGGGAGGCUGCAGUAACGAAUCUUCCGCAAUGCGCGAAAGCGUGACGGAGCAAUGCCGCGUGCAGGAUGAACGCCCGUCGGGUGUAAACUGACUGGUACAGGGGUUAAGAAACGCAAAUGAACUCGUAACCCCAAAAGGAAGAA